Molecule: long non-coding RNA, 1662 nt
Filed under: Triticum aestivum (bread wheat)
Lineage: Eukaryota; Viridiplantae; Streptophyta; Magnoliopsida; Poales; Poaceae
Description: long non-coding RNA (TAES_LNC017510)
Source: RNAcentral
UUAUAUGCAUGCGACGGGCUAACCUCUGUAUAUAGGUUGGCACGUCGCACUGGGUGAAGGCUGCAGAUCAUGCACUCGAGAUCAUCCACAAAACAUCAGGGAGAGGUUCUGUCGGCUGGAGCUUGUGGGAGUAUCACGUCGUGAUCGAGACCUGGGCGACCAUCUAUAUGGUAGGCAACUAGACUCACACCCAACUUUAUUUUUCCUUGUGCUGAUUUGAGGUUAGUUCAGUUCCAGGGGCAGGUGCUAAUUAAUGGACAGUCCAAGGAUGAAUGGGAGAGGUGGCUGCUGAUUACGGUUUGAUUUUGGUAAUUAUAUUUGGGUUCCUUGUUCGUUGCCGUUUUGUUGUGCUAGAUGUGGUAUAUGAUCCACAAGAUAUUUAGAUAUUAGAUUAUUAUCACUGCAAUAGCAUCAGACCAAACUUGGUCUUUUCUCAUGUGCUAAAUCAAAGUAGGAAUCGGUUGUAGAAGUAGACAAGACUGCAACUAGCUUAAAGUUGGUUAGAUUAUGCAUAAAAGGGUAUUUCUGUUGUCUACUCUUUAGGUUCCCAUAGUGUGAGGUGGUAUUCCUUUUGAAAACACAUAUAAACUGGCAUCGAUAGUGAACAAUGGUGCUUCCUGUACGUAUAAACUGGAGCAGCAAUACUUAAAUCUUUUACGUAAUAAAGCGUCCCGUUUCGCAAAAAAUAAACUGGAGCAGUAAUAUGAGGCUGAAGUAACCGACAUUAGCAACAAUAAUAUAAAUGUUUUCUGCACUGGGUCCGUGUGUCUCACAUGGAUGUUGAAUAGAUAAAAUGCUAUAAAGAUCAGCUUGCUUCUCAUGUAAUUGGAACGAUUGUGUGUCUUAGUUUUUCCUGUUUCCUUUGGUUUUGCAGCCAAGAUUUUUUUAGCACGUGCAUACAGAGCAGAACUGGAGCAUAAUAGUAGUUGAAAAAUGUUUUAGUGUAGUUUAUUAAAGAUUCCGUUUAUUUCUACAUUACGAAUGUAACUACUUAGUCAUUCUCAAAAAAGAAAAGAAACGAAUGUAGCUUACUUAGUCCACUGAGUUCCUUUAUGAUGUGUCCCUAAAGAAAGAGAGUUCCUUUAUGAUGUGUAGCACAUGUCCUUUACUGAUACGACAUAGUUUCUCAUUCUAGGUAACGGCAAGUGAAGCCAUGAAAGGCAUGUAUAUUGUACUACAGACAUGUAGCUUCAUGGUAUCUUUGUUGUGAUGUUCAUGUUCUCUUGGAAGAUUCUCUUACUAGAUUUAUGCUAGAUUUCACUAAAUCAUCUUUCUUUUACACAAGUACUAUGUAAGCUGUAUGUUUCCCAGGUUUGUUCAAAGUUUCUUGCACAUUCAGUAUUCAGUGCCCCUGCAUCUUAUUUUUUGCUCUUUCUUGUUGGAUGCGGGAUCACAUUCAGCUGUCCUCACAACUAUGAACUAUCUUCUUUGUUAUAUCGAAUAUUUUUCUCUACGCUCAUGCUUGUGAAUUGUAUGACGUUUUGACAGGUUAUAUGUGGGUUCCUUGUGCCGAUCAAAACACGGGUAGAUGCUAAUAAUAUUUUUGUUGACAUAUAUCACUACUGGAAUUUUCAUGUACGCCGGGUGUAAUGCUCUUCGCCGAGUGCUAAAACACGGACACUCGGCAAAUCAAGCUUUGCCGAGUGUCACUCUCGGCAAACC